AAGAUGAUACUUUCAGGGAUAAUUUCUAUAGUUCGUUACUAGAAAAGUUUCUCUAAAUGUGUAGAGAAAAAAACAAUUCCUAGUUUGAAUCUUGAUUUGUGUAAUUCCUGGCUCUUAACCCUUUUGUAUUGUUUUAUUCUGUCGUCUCUGAAUUCUGAUGGGA
Small nucleolar RNA from Pongo abelii (Sumatran orangutan), 163 nucleotides. Its record names the gene U3. It matches the Rfam family "Small nucleolar RNA U3". Rfam says of the family: Small nucleolar RNAs (snoRNAs) are involved in the processing and modification of rRNA in the nucleolus. There are two main classes of snoRNAs: the box C/D class, and the box H/ACA class. Lineage: Eukaryota; Metazoa; Chordata; Mammalia; Primates; Hominidae. The record is from Ensembl.